Molecule: ribosomal RNA, 980 nt
Filed under: Staphylococcus auricularis
Lineage: Bacteria; Bacillati; Bacillota; Bacilli; Caryophanales; Staphylococcaceae
Description: bacterial SSU rRNA
Rfam family: Bacterial small subunit ribosomal RNA
Source: RNAcentral
GAUGAACGCUGGCGGCGUGCCUAAUACAUGCAAGUCGAGCGAACAGAUAAGGAGCUUGCUCCUUUGACGUUAGCGGCGGACGGGUGAGUAACACGUGGGUAACUUAUCUAUAAGACUGGAAUAACUCCGGGAAACCGGGGCUAAUGCAGGAUAACAUGUUGAACCGCAUGGUUCUACAGUGAAAGGCGGCUUUGCUGUCACUUAUAGAUGGACCCGCGCCGUAUUAGCUAGUUGGUGAGGUAACGGCUCACCAAGGCAACGAUACGUAGCCGACCUGAGAGGGUGAUCGGCCACACUGGAACUGAGACACGGUCCAGACUCCUACGGGAGGCAGCAGUAGGGAAUCUUCCGCAAUGGGCGAAAGCCUGACGGAGCAACGCCGCGUGAGUGAUGAAGGUCUUCGGAUCGUAAAACUCUGUUAUUAGGGAAGAACAAAUGCGUAAGUAACUGUGCGCGUCUUGACGGUACCUAAUCAGAAAGCCACGGCUAACUACGUGCCAGCAGCCGCGGUAAUACGUAGGUGGCAAGCGUUAUCCGGAAUUAUUGGGCGUAAAGCGCGCGUAGGCGGUUUUUUAAGUCUGAUGUGAAAGCCCACGGCUCAACCGUGGAGGGUCAUUGGAAACUGAAAAACUUGAGUGCAGAAGAGGAAAGUGGAAUUCCAUGUGUAGCGGUGAAAUGCGCAGAGAUAUGGAGGAACACCAGUGGCGAAGGCGACUUUCUGGUCUGUAACUGACGCUGAUGUGCGAAAGCGUGGGGAUCAAACAGGAUUAGAUACCCUGGUAGUCCACGCCGUAAACGAUGAGUGCUAAGUGUUAGGGGGUUUCCGCCCCUUAGUGCUGCAGCUAACGCAUUAAGCACUCCGCCUGGGGAGUACGGCCGCAAGGCUUAAACUCAAAGGAAUUGACGGGGACCCGCACAAGCGGUGGAGCAUGUGGUUUAAUUCGAAGCAACGCGAAGAACCUUACCAAAUCUUGACAUCC